GUAUGUGUGCAUCUCGGCCUCUCUAUGUAUUUCUUUUUUUUUUUUUUUUUUUUUUUUUUCGGAGCUGGGGACCGAACCCAGGACCUUGCGCUUGCUAGGCAAGCGCUCUACCACUGAGCUAAAUCCCCAACCCCUUCUAUGUAUUUCUUAUGUUUUUUCUUCGGCUCUUUUUUUUUUUUCUGUUGUUUUUGUCCUAUUCAGGUUUGUUCUUUGUAAUCAUAUUUUUUAUUGUUAUUAUUCAUUAUUACAUAUUUCAGUUUGUUCUCUGAGACAGUUGGGUGGUUGACAGGAUCUGGGAGAAGUUGGGAGAGGGGAAACUAAAA
RNAcentral lists this long non-coding RNA (323 nucleotides) under Rattus norvegicus (Norway rat). RNAcentral describes it as "long non-coding RNA NONRATT026272". The record is from RNAcentral. Lineage: Eukaryota; Metazoa; Chordata; Mammalia; Rodentia; Muridae.